GGGGUUGUGGCUCAGCGGCAGAGCACUCGCCUAACAUGUGUGAGGCCCUGGGUUUGAUCCUCAGCACCA
Molecule: transfer RNA, 69 nt
Filed under: Ictidomys tridecemlineatus (thirteen-lined ground squirrel)
Lineage: Eukaryota; Metazoa; Chordata; Mammalia; Rodentia; Sciuridae
Description: Spermophilus tridecemlineatus (thirteen-lined ground squirrel) tRNA
Rfam family: tRNA
About the family: Transfer RNA (tRNA) molecules are approximately 80 nucleotides in length. Their secondary structure includes four short double-helical elements and three loops (D, anti-codon, and T loops). Further hydrogen bonds mediate the characteristic L-shaped molecular structure. tRNAs have two regions of fundamental functional importance: the anti-codon, which is responsible for specific mRNA codon recognition, and the 3' end, to which the tRNAs corresponding amino acid is attached (by aminoacyl-tRNA synthetases). tRNAs cope with the degeneracy of the genetic code in two manners: having more than one tRNA (with a specific anti-codon) for a particular amino acid; and 'wobble' base-pairing, i.e. permitting non-standard base-pairing at the 3rd anti-codon position.
Source: Rfam by way of RNAcentral